Molecule: ribosomal RNA, 388 nt
Filed under: uncultured bacterium
Lineage: Bacteria
Description: bacterial SSU rRNA
Rfam family: Bacterial small subunit ribosomal RNA
Source: RNAcentral
UUUUUGACAAUGGGGGCAACCCUGAUCCAGGCAAUGCCGCGUGGGUGAAGAAGGGCCUUCGGUUUGUAAAGCUCUUUUGUCAGGGAAGAAACGGUGGGGGCUAAUAUCCUCUGGAAUGACGGUACCUGAACAAUAGCACCGGCAACUACGUGCCAGCAGCCGCGGAGUACGUAGGGUGCAAGCGUUUCUCGAAUCAUUGGGCGUAAGGCGUGCGCAGGGCGGUUGUGCAAGACAGAUGUGAAUCCCCGGGCUCAACCUGGAAUUGCAUUUGUACUGCCCGGUAGAGUUGUGUAAGGGGGGUGAAUUCCACGUGAGCGGUAAAUGCGAAUUCGUGAAGAAUCCAUGGCAAGGAGCCCCCUGGGAAGCUCUGCGUCAUCCAGACAAAACU